AGUAUUAAGGUCCUGCCUGCCCAGUGAAAUUUUUUAACGGCCGCGGUAUUCUAACCGUGCAAAGGUAGCGUAAUCACUUGUCUUCUAAAUAAAGACCAGUAUGAAUGGCUAAAUGAGGAUAAACCUGUCUCCUGCGGCCCAUCAGUGAAACUGAUCCCCCAGUCCAAAAGCUGGAAUAUAAACAUAAGACGAGAAGACCCUGUGGAGCUUAAAACUCAACCACUAAUGACCCCACAUCACCUAGUACAAAGUUUUAAGUUGGGGCGACUUCGGAACAAAACAAGACUUCCGAGCACAGAACCACCCGUUCUAACCAAGGCAAACAAGCCUAAGAAAUAAUUGACCCAGUCACACUGACCAACGAACCAAGUUACCCCAGGGAUAACAGCGCUAUCUUCUUCAAGAGUCCAUAUCGACAAGAAGGUUUACGACCUCGAUGUUGGAUCAGGGCACCCCAAUGGUGCACCCGCUAUUAAAGGUUCGUUUGUUCAACGAUUAACAGCC
RNAcentral lists this ribosomal RNA (504 nucleotides) under Calyptotis lepidorostrum. Its description in RNAcentral is "partial 16S ribosomal RNA". It matches the Rfam family "Bacterial large subunit ribosomal RNA", at positions 1842 to 2595 of the family's 2925-position model. Lineage: Eukaryota; Metazoa; Chordata; Lepidosauria; Squamata; Scincidae. The record is from RNAcentral.